RNAcentral lists this ribosomal RNA (253 nucleotides) under uncultured bacterium. RNAcentral describes it as "partial 16S ribosomal RNA". It matches the Rfam family "Bacterial small subunit ribosomal RNA", at positions 524 to 776 of the family's 1533-position model. The record is from RNAcentral.
UACGUAGGGAGCAAGCGUUGUCCGGAAUCAUUGGGCGUAAAGCGCGCGUAGGCGGCCCGAUAAGUCCGCUGUGAAAGUCAACGGCUCAACUGUUGGAUGCCGGUGGAUACUGUCGGGCUAGAGUACGGAAGAGGCAAGUGGAAUUCCUGGUGUAGCGGUGGAAUGCGCAGAUAUCAGGAGGAACACCGGUGGCGAAGGCGGGUCUCUGGGCCGAUACUGACGCUGAGGAGCGAAAGCGUGGGGAGCAAACAGG